RNAcentral lists this long non-coding RNA (3560 nucleotides) under Canis lupus familiaris (dog). RNAcentral's name for it is "lncRNA (ENSCAFG00000050801.1)". The record is from RNAcentral. Lineage: Eukaryota; Metazoa; Chordata; Mammalia; Carnivora; Canidae.
AGAAGAAGAAGAAGAAGAAAGACAAGAAAACCAUUGACAAAUUUCCACAUCAAAAGCUGUUCAAAACACUGCAUCACCAUGGGAUUGGGGAUGUGUGCGCGCUCUGCCUUGAAUAGAGUCUGCUCAGAGAACGAGAACAGAGAAGGAAAUAGGCCCUUUCAAGGAUGGGGACAUGUAACAAAUGGUGUUCCUCAAGGAUCAAAGAUAGCACUUGUCUUACUGAACAUUUGUACAAAAGUUUGAGGAUUCGUCGCGGAGUAGAAAAUCCUGAUGCAUGGGGAAGAGUGAAUUCUGCUUAGUGAGGAACCAGAAGGAAGGGAAAGAGACUCCAACUGGAAUCCUCACCCAAUAAUCAAUGGCUGAUCAGUUAAGUACAAACCCAAAUGGAUCGCAGGUUGGUGUUUGAAACUACUCUGCUCUCAUGGCCAUUUCUAGACCAAAGAGAACCAGACAGCGCUGCCUUCAUCCUCAAUACAGAAUCUGGCAGAAUGUUGAACUAGAUGCUUAAAAUCCAUAUGUUUGAGGUGUUUUACACCAGUCUUUAGAUGACGUAUAUGCUACGCCUUGGCGAACUCCCACCUGGUAGCUAAUUAGAGAACUAUAUUGAGAAACAGCUCCUGUCCCAGUUGGGGCGAAGUGUCAGUGUCAUUGAUUGAUCAGCCAUCUCUUGCUAGGGAGGGAAAAAAAAAAAAGCAGAGUGGAGUGCAAAUACAUGGAGUGUCUGAAGACUCUAUACAAACUCUGAGCUGUUUGAAGGCUGGAGUGUACUUCAGCGACUCAGUGGUCACCAGGAAAAUCUCAGAGCAAGGGAGAGAGACAACUGUUGCGGAGCUGACAUGGAUUCUACUCUGGUAGAAAAGGUUCCAACUCAUGGGUAUAAUGGUGUGUACAGCACAGAUGCCCCUAUGACUCCAGUACAAGGAGAGCAUAGGUCAAGUUCAAACUGCUGUAAAUUGCCUCCCUCCUGGGGCUUCUGGCUCCCUAUAUGCCUUAGGGAGACUGAGUAGCCUCCAUCUUUCCCUGAGGGGCAGAGCUGGGUUUCUCUAAAUUGGUCAUGAGGAAAACCCUUAAUGCACAGACUCGGGGCUCUGACAACAGUCAACACAAUCAUGAGUAAAAUAUAAAUAAUAGUAGAAUACAGUAGUAUACAUACUGCACCACAGGAGUAGGUCCCCUUGUGCCUGGUUUCAGCCACCCAAGGUCAACUGCCAUCUGGAAACAGAGGAUCUUCCUUCUGACAAAUGGUCGGAGAGUCAGGAGUGGCCUAACACAACCUCACAGCACCUGUGUGACUCAACUAAUUUCAUCUCAUCACCUGGCCCUCUUAUCACCUCACAUCAUCACAAGAAGAAAGGUGAGUACAGGAUGAUAAGGUAUUUUCAAAUGAGAGAGACUGUAUUCACCUAACUUCUAUUACAGUAUAUUGUUAUCAUUGUUCUAUUUUAUUAGUGGCUAGGUGGUGCAUCUCUUACUGUGCCUAAUUUACAAAUUAAGCUUUACCAUGGGUGGGUGUGUAUAGGAAAAAACAGUACAUACAAGGUGGGGUGCUAUCCACAAUUUCAGGCAUCCUAUGGGGUGGGGCUCUUGGACCAUGUCCCCCGCGAAUAAGCAGGGGAGGCUGUAACAGAGAGGAUUUUACGUAUUUCAGAGUAAAGUGUGUUCACUUUCGUAGAGCAACUCAUUUCAUCCCAUCGAAACUCCAGUGAAGGGACGCCUGGGUGGCUUAGCAGUUGAGCACAGAUCAAGAUCAGUGGCUCAGAUCCUGAUCCUGGGGUUCUGGGAUCGAGACCCGCAUUGGACUCCCUGCAUGGAACCUGCUUCUCCCUCUGCCUGUGUGUCUGCCUCUCUCUGUGUGUCUCAGGAAUAAAUAAAUAAAAUCUUAAAAAAAAAAAAAUCCCAGUGAUGUGUUUUAUCAUUAGCACAGCUCAGGGAGACAGUGUGUGUGUGUGCACUCUGCCUGCCUCGCCUCGUGAAGAAUGGACCCAGGAACCUGGCAAAGUUCAGGCAUGCUUGGGAACCAGUGACUUAAUGGAUGGAUUCGUUCAUUAAGCCAGCUUUUCUGACCGAGUUUAGCACCUGGCCUAUUUUUCCGGUACAGGUACCUAAAGGAUCCUCUCCUUCCUAUGGCAGUACAUUGUUAGGUUUUGUGCAAAUAGUCUGUCUCUUCUGGCCUGGAAACUUUCUCUAAGAAAGCUGGAUUUUAUGGCCAAUAAUCAAGAAAAAGAGAGAAAGAGAAAAAAGGACAGAGAGAGGGAGAGAAGAGAAACAGGCCCAAUACGCCAGGGUUCAUCACCUUGAACCUGUCACUGACCAGUAUUCUCAAUACAGCAACUUCUGCUGCUGGCUUUCUCACAUUAUGUGUUUCUGGCUCCAUCACCUUCUCUGAGCUUGAGACGAAGGCUUGCUCCUCUGGCCUCCCUGCCUCAUUCCAGGGUGAACUCAUCCCUUAGAUCACACUCUUCCAAACUCCUUCAGUAAGGUCUGACCCACGGGGCCUCUCUGCUCAGCCCACACCUCCCAGCCAGCCAGAGUCCCUCCCAACCUCACUUCCUGCCCUGCAGGUUUGAACUUGGGUGAUGAAGGGGACGAGGCAAAUGAUGCUCCCUUGACACCUGCCCAUGGGAACCAAAUGCCAGGACAUCGGGGUCCAGCUUUGCAGAUCUGAUUCUCCGACCUCACUCAUUCCCCUUCUGCCUCAGUUUCCCCAUCUGUACCAUAAGGGGCUACAGAGGUGUUCCCUGAGGAUGCUUCCACAGCCAAGAUUCUGGAAUCACCUGCUUUUCAUGUGGGAGAAAGCAGAGGCACAUAUAAGAGAAGCGAUUUGCAGUCCCUCCCACCCACAGGCCCCAAGUAGACUCCAGUCUGCCUUAAGGCCUGAGAGGGAGAAGCAGAAACACAGCGAGUCUUCAGCAGGGCAGUAAGGCCAAGAUGUGAUAGACAGGAAAGAAUCCUGUAAUCACCAAGCAGGAGAGAGCACGAUCCAUUAACUCCUUUUAACCAAAGCUGCCAGGGAGCCAUCCACCUCCUGCUGCGCCCGUGAACCCAUCACUCCCCAGUGCUCAGGGCUGGGGAGCCAUCUCAGGCUGGUGCCUUCGGGUCGCUCAUGCUGCUGCCCUGCCCCAAAGUCCACAUUUAAGCCGCCCAGAAGGACUGCAUGAAGCAAUGCCAUCUAAAAAUAUUACCGCCACUUGGGACCUGAUUACUUUUUCUUCCUUCGACAAAUGGAAUAUCCACAGGAGCUGCUCUCAGCUGAUGCCCAGAUAAUGCUCAAGGAACAGGCACUUGUACAGCCCCUGGCUCAGCCCCUUUCCCCUGCAGAUGGAUCAGAAAAGCUUGGAAACUUGCCAGAGAUCACACAGCCACAACUGCAUCGCUCAGAGGAUAUCUAUAGUCCAAAGCUCUGUUAGGGCCACUUCUUUUUUUUUUUUUCUAUCCGACUUAUGUUCUUUUUUAAUUUAAAUUCAAUUUGCCAACAUAGAGUACAUCAUUAAUUUCAGAUGUGGUUUUCAGUAAUUCAUCAGUUGUGUAUCACAGCCAGUGCUCAUCCCACCAUGUGCUCU